RNAcentral lists this ribosomal RNA (584 nucleotides) under uncultured bacterium. Its description in RNAcentral is "bacterial SSU rRNA". It matches the Rfam family "Bacterial small subunit ribosomal RNA", at positions 94 to 691 of the family's 1533-position model. The record is from RNAcentral.
ACUGGCGCACGGGUGAGUAACGCGUAGGUAAUCUAGCCCUAUCACAGACAUAACGUUGGGAAACUGGCGCUAAUAUCUGAUGAGGACUCUGGUUCAAAGUAGCAAUAUGGAUAGGGAUGAGCCUGCGUUAGAUUAGCUAGUUGGUGAGGUAAAAGCUCACCAAGGCGACGAUCUAUAGCUGGUCUGAGAGGACGAUCAGCCACACUGGAACUGAGACACGGUCCAGACUCCUACGGGAGGCAGCAGUGAGGAAUUUUGGACAAUGGAGGAAACUCUGAUCCAGCGACGCCGCGUGUUGGAUGACGGGGCUUAGCCCUGUAAACAACUGUCGGAUGGGGAAAAAAGUCUGCUAAUGUGGACUGGGCUUGUACCAUCAAAGGAAGGGUCGGCUAACUACGUGCCAGCAGCCGCGGUAAUACGUAGGACCCGAGCGUUGUCCGGAUUUACUGGGUAUAAAGGGUGCGCAGGCGGGCUUGUGCGUCAGGGGUUAAAGACCUCGGCUUAACCGAGGAGAUGCCUUUGAUACGGCAGGUCUUGAAUGUGAGAGAGGAUGAUAGAAUUCCUGGUGUAGCGGUGGAAUGCGU